RNAcentral lists this ribosomal RNA (253 nucleotides) under uncultured bacterium. Its description in RNAcentral is "partial 16S ribosomal RNA". It matches the Rfam family "Bacterial small subunit ribosomal RNA", at positions 524 to 776 of the family's 1533-position model. The record is from RNAcentral.
GACGGAGGGUGCAAGCGUUGCUCGGAAUUACUGGGCGUAAAGGGCUCGUAGGCGGCCAACUAAGUCGGACGUGAAAUCCCUCGGCUUAACCGGGGAACUGCGUCCGAUACUGGAUGGCUUGAGUUUGGGAGAGGGAUGCGGAAUUCCAGGUGUAGCGGUGAAAUUCGUAGAUAUCGAGAGGAACACCGGUGGCGAAGGCGGCGAUCUGGACGAUGACUGACGCUGAGACGCGAAAGCGUGGGGAGCAAACAGG